GACGAACGCUGGCGGCGUGCUUAACACAUGCAAGUCGAACGGAAAGGCCCCUUCGGGGGUACUCGAGUGGCGAACGGGUGAGUAACACAUGAGUAACCUGCCCUUGACUUCGGGAUAACUUCAGGAAACUGGGGCUAAUACCGGAUAGGAAUCCUUGCUGCAUGGUGGGGGUUGGAAAGCUUCGGCGGUUUUGGAUGGACUCGCGGCUUAUCAGCUUGUUGGUGGGGUAGUGGCUUACCAAGGCUUUGACGGGUAGCCGGCCUGAGAGGGCGACCGGCCACAUUGGGACUGAGAUACGGCCCAGACUCCUACGGGAGGCAGCAGUGGGGAAUAUUGCACAAUGGGCGGAAGCCUGAUGCAGCAACGCCGCGUGCGGGAUGACGGCCUUCGGGUUGUAAACCGCUUUCAGCAGGGGCGAAGCUUGUGGUGACGGUACCUGCAGAAGAAGCACCGGCUAACUACGUG
This 465-nucleotide ribosomal RNA is filed under the name uncultured bacterium. Its description in RNAcentral is "partial 16S ribosomal RNA". It matches the Rfam family "Bacterial small subunit ribosomal RNA", at positions 28 to 507 of the family's 1533-position model. The record is from RNAcentral.